GACGUAGGGUGCAAGCGUUGUCCGGAUUUAUUGGGCGUAAAGAGUUCGUAGGCGGUUGCCUAAGUCUGAUGUUAAAGCCUGGCGCUCAACGCCAGCAUGGCAUUGGAACUGGGCAGCUAGAGUGUGGAUAGAGGUCGACGGGAAUUCCUGGUGUAGCGGUGAAAUGCGUAGAUAUCAGGAGGAACACCGGUGGCGAAAGCGCGUGACUGGGCCACAACUGACGCUGAGGCGCGAAAGCGUGGGGAGCGAACAGG
This 254-nucleotide ribosomal RNA is filed under the name uncultured bacterium. RNAcentral describes it as "partial 16S ribosomal RNA". It matches the Rfam family "Bacterial small subunit ribosomal RNA", at positions 524 to 776 of the family's 1533-position model. The record is from RNAcentral.